AGGGUUUGAUCAUGGCUCAGAGCGAACGCUGGCGGCGUGCUUAACACAUGCAAGUCGAACGUUGAGCCGGUUGUAGCAAUACGGUCGGUUCGACGUGGCGAACGGGUGCGUAACGCGUGGACAACCUGCCCGCGAGAGGGGCAUAACCCCGGGAAACUGGGGCUAAUACCCCGUACGUUCCUCUUCCGGCAGCGGGAGGGGCAGAAAGCCCGCAAGGGUGCUCGUGGAGGGGUCCGCGUCCGAUCAGCUAGUUGGCGAGGUAACGGCUCACCAAGGCGACGACCGGUAGCUGGUCUGAGAGGACGACCAGCCACACUGGGACUGAGACACGGCCCAGACUCCUACGGGAGGCAGCAGUGGGGAAUAUUGCGCAAUGGGGGAAACCCUGACGCAGCGACGCCGCGUGGAGGAUGAAGCCCUUCGGGGUGUAAACUCCUUUCGACGGGGACGAAUGCCCGCAAGGGUUUGACGGUACCCGUAGAAGAAGCCCCGGCUAACUACGUGCCAGCAGCCGCGGUAAUACGUAGGGGGCAAGCGUUGCUCGGAAUUACUGGGCGUAAAGGGUCCGUAGGCGGCUGGAUAAGUCGGCGGUAAAAUCGCUCCGCUUAACGGAGCAAGGCCCGCCGAGACUGUUCGGCUCGAGGGGCGGAGAGGCGAGUGGAAUUACCGGUGUAGCGGUGAAAUGCGUAGAUCUCGGUAGGAACACCGGAGGCGAAGGCGGCUCGCUGGACGCUCCCUGACGCUGAGGGACGAAAGCUGGGGGAGCAAACAGGAUUAGAUACCCUGGUAGUCCCAGCCCUAAACGAUGGUCACUAGACGUGCCCCGUGUACGCGGGGCGUGUCGCAGCUAACGCGCUAAGUGACCCGCCUGGGGAGUACGGUCGCAAGA
RNAcentral lists this ribosomal RNA (889 nucleotides) under uncultured Acidobacteriota bacterium. RNAcentral's name for it is "bacterial SSU rRNA". It matches the Rfam family "Bacterial small subunit ribosomal RNA", at positions 8 to 893 of the family's 1533-position model. Lineage: Bacteria; Pseudomonadati; Acidobacteriota. The record is from RNAcentral.